UACGUAGGGGUCGAGCGUUGUCCGGAGUUACUGGGCGUAAAGCGUGCGCAGGCGGCUCAUUGCGCCCGGCGUGAAAGCCCCCGGCUCAACCGGGGAGGGUCGUCGGGGACGGGUGAGCUUGAGGGUAUCAGGGGCUGGUGGAAUUCCCGGUGUAGUGGUGAAAUGCGUAGAGAUCGGGAGGAACACCCGUGGCGAAGGCGGCCAGCUGGGAUACACCUGACGCUGAGGCACGAAGGCGUGGGGAGCGAACGGG
RNAcentral lists this ribosomal RNA (253 nucleotides) under uncultured bacterium. Its description in RNAcentral is "partial 16S ribosomal RNA". It matches the Rfam family "Bacterial small subunit ribosomal RNA", at positions 524 to 776 of the family's 1533-position model. The record is from RNAcentral. RNAcentral also lists the same sequence under 1 other name.